AAAGAAACCAUUAUCGUCUAAUGCAGAUGUAGCAGAGAGGCAGACUGCAGCCUCUCCAAAAAGUAGGUCAGCUCCUCCCCUUUCCCAACCCCUCUAAAUUGGCAGCCUACGUAAGACACCUGUGGCAUGAAGGCUGCCCUUUCUCUUUGUCUGUGCAUGGUGGCUGCCACAUGGUCAUGUCUCUGAGUUUGCUGUCUGUUGUGUACUGAUGGCCUGGUCGCCG
Chelmon rostratus (copperband butterflyfish) is the source of this 223-nucleotide long non-coding RNA. RefSeq lists it as uncharacterized. The record is from RefSeq and is a predicted model, not a curated record. NCBI's taxonomy places the organism in Eukaryota, Metazoa, Chordata, Actinopteri, Chaetodontiformes, Chaetodontidae. The transcript has 3 exons.